UCUACGGGAGGCAGCAGUGGGGAAUAUUGCACAAUGGGGGAAACCCUGAUGCAGCAACGCCGCGUGAGUGAUGACGGCCUUCGGGUUGUAAACUUCUUUUAAGAGGGAAGAGCAGAAGACGGUACCUCUUGAAUAAGCCACGGCUAACUACGUGCCAGCAGCCGCGGUAAUACGUAGGUGGCAAGCGUUGUCCGGAUUUACUGGGUGUAAAGGGCGUGCAGCCGGGAAGACAAGUCAGAUGUGAAAUCCCGCGGCUCAACCGCGGAACUGCAUUUGAAACUGUUUUUCUUGAGUACCGGAGAGGUCAUCGGAAUUCCUUGUGUAGCGGUGAAAUGCGUAGAUAUAAGGAAGAACACCAGUGGCGAAGGCGGAUGACUGGACGGCAACUGACGGUGAGGCGCGAAAGCGUGGGGAGCAAACAGGAUUAGAUACCCGUGUAGUC
RNAcentral lists this ribosomal RNA (442 nucleotides) under uncultured bacterium. RNAcentral's name for it is "partial 16S ribosomal RNA". It matches the Rfam family "Bacterial small subunit ribosomal RNA", at positions 338 to 795 of the family's 1533-position model. The record is from RNAcentral.